GUGGGGAAUAUUGGGCAAUGGGCGAAAGCCUGACCCAGCAACGCCGCGUGAAGGAAGAAGGUUUUCGGAUCGUAAACUUCUAUCCUUGGUGAAGAUAAUGACGGUAGCCAAGAAGGAAGCCCCGGCUAACUACGUGCCAGCAGCCGCGGUAAUACGUAGGGGGCAAGCGUUGUCCGGAAUGAUUGGGCGUAAAGGGCGCGUAGGCGGCCUGGUAAGUCUGGAGUGAAAGUCCUGCUUUUAAGGUGGGAAUUGCUUUGGAUACUGUCGGGCUUGAGUGCAAGAGAGGUAAGUGGAAUUCCCGGUGUAGCGGUGAAAUGCGUAGAGAUCGGGAGGAACACCAGUGGCGAAGGCGACUUACUGGACUGUAACUGACGCUGAGGCGCGAAAGUGUGGGGAGCAAACAGGAUUAGAAACCCCUGUAGUCC
RNAcentral lists this ribosomal RNA (425 nucleotides) under uncultured bacterium. RNAcentral describes it as "bacterial SSU rRNA". It matches the Rfam family "Bacterial small subunit ribosomal RNA", at positions 354 to 796 of the family's 1533-position model. The record is from RNAcentral.